RNAcentral lists this transfer RNA (72 nucleotides) under Heterocephalus glaber (naked mole-rat). It matches the Rfam family "tRNA". Rfam says of the family: Transfer RNA (tRNA) molecules are approximately 80 nucleotides in length. Lineage: Eukaryota; Metazoa; Chordata; Mammalia; Rodentia; Bathyergidae. The record is from Rfam by way of RNAcentral.
UGCAGUAUAGCUCAGUGGUAGAGCACUUGCCUAAUACGUGUGAAGCCCUAAAUCUGAUCCCUAGCACUGCAA